RNAcentral lists this long non-coding RNA (5609 nucleotides) under Sus scrofa (pig). Its description in RNAcentral is "lncRNA (ENSSSCG00005029670.1)". Lineage: Eukaryota; Metazoa; Chordata; Mammalia; Artiodactyla; Suidae. The record is from RNAcentral.
UUUUUUUUUUUUUUUAGGGCCGCACCCACGGCAUAUGAAGGUUCCCAGGCUAGGGAUCGAAUUGGAGCUACAGCUGCCAGCCACAGCCACAGCAACACCAGAUCCAAGUCGCUUCUGCGAACUACACCACAGCACAUGGCAGCCCCGGAUCCUCAACCCACUGAGCAAGUCCAGGGGUUUAACCUGCAUCCUCAUGGAUGCUCAUCAGAUUUGUUAGCUAGUGAGCCAAGAUGGGAACUCCAGAGGUAUUACACUUUUACAGUGACAUCCCAUCCCAGGAGAAACUAAAGUCAAUGAAACCAUAUAUUUUGAUGGCAAGAAAGAAAGAGAGGAAGGGAGGGAGGGAAGGAAGGAAGAAAGGAAGAAGGGGAGGGAGAGAGGAAGGAUGGAGUGAGGGAGGGAUGGGAGGGCAGGGCAGGGCUGAGGAGCUGGGGGAAGAGAAGGGCAGGGCAAGGGGAAGAUUUUAUGUUGUGGGUUAUCCCCUCCCCACAUUCCUAAGAGGAGGUGCCUUAGAGAGAACAUGCAUUUCCCUGUGGAGCUUUGUAACUGAGAAUGGAUCUAAUGUUUGAAGAUUUUUUUCAUAAAACAUGGCCACUGAAUGCAUAGUAAUCACAUCCCUUGGUUGUCAGCCAAAAAUGCAGUGUGCUUUGGUGCUAAAGCAAAAACUGGCUGUGUCAGGCUUGCAGAGAGACAUAUGUGUCCCAUACCUUAUGGGGGAUUUAAAGGAUUUUCCAGAGACAUUUUGAUUACAUGUAUUUUCAUUUUACACGCUGGCUUCAGACACUACCCUGCACAUAAGACACUGCACUGUGUAUGAAGGCCUCGUGUGUUCUGACUUCUCUGAUAUCAAAGCUGAGAGACUGGUGACCCAGACCUCAUCCAAUGCUGCAAAUUCCACACUAGGGGGAGGAAAAGAGGUUGCAGUCUCCAGGGGAAGCAAGAUUCUCACAUGAAACUACCCCCUGCAGCAUUCCUGUGUUUGAACAAUGGACAUGAGGGCUCAACUGCAGCAGAGGGUUGGUGUGCCUGUGGGAGCACCAGGCCCGCCUGCCUGUCCAGUACCCUGCACCCCUGGUCUGCUGCAGCCAGCCUAUCCUGUAACACAUCCUGACCCCCCGGAGACCCUUCCCCUCUACUCUGCACAGACUGCACCAGUCACCCUCUGGUCACCCCUCCCCGGUUUCCCUCUUACAAGGUGAGCUGAGGGACAACUGGUCAGAGGGCUGCAGGCUCUGGUAUCAGGAGGACCUUUAGAUUCUGGUGGCCACCUCAAGCACAUGGAGUGGGGUUGCAAGCAGAAGCCAACAGAGAGAAGCAGGGUAAAGGAGGCCUGAGAUGAGUAACCAAGCUGCUGGUGAGUGGCUGCCCCUGGCCUUCCUCGCCUGUGCCUCAUGCCUCACACUGCCCAGCCCCUCUCACUGAGCUGGUCUGCUCCUUUCUGUCUUUAGCAUCCAAACAAGGCUUCACUGCCUGGCUUCAAGCCAACCCCCGGGGGCCUCAGAGGCCUGCAUAGAAGAGAAGGUCUAACUGCUUGGACCAUUCACUUCAGCGUUUCCAUUACUUGUGACCUCUGGUGACCCAAAAUGCAAACUUCUAGAAUUCAGAUGGUUUCGGCAAGUUCAUUUGUCCCUUUCUUACAGGCUAGAUCUUUUUUUCCUGGUUCUGUGUAAAGUGCCCACCCUUUUAAGUCAAAUCCCUUUUCCGGUAAUUUCUCAGGGCUACAGGCAUACUUUUCAAUGGUGGGUGUGAAUUUUUUCCUAUAGUUUAUCACAAUAGGUGUGGAAAUAAUAACAGUGGGGUAAAAUUAUUUUCAGAUUUUCAGCACACACACAAAAUUUUUUGGCAACACCUGCGGCAUAUGGAAGUUCCCAGGCCAGGAACUGAAUCUGAGCCACAGCUGAGGCCAUGCUGAAUCCUUAACACACUGAACAGCAGUGGAAACUCCCAGAAUUUUUUAAAAAAUUAAUGUCACGAGGAGUUCCCCUUGUGGCUCAAUGGUAACGAACCUGACUAGUUUCCAUGAGGAUGCGGGUUCAAUCCCUGGUCUUGCUCAGUGGGUUAAAGGAUCCAGCAUUGCCAUGAGCUGUGGUGUAGGUUGCUGAUGUGGCUCAGAUCCCAUGUUGCUGUGACCGUGGCAUAGGCUGACAGCUACAGCUCCAGUCUGACCCCUGGCCUGAGAACUUCCAUAUGCGGAGGGCGCAACCCUAAAAAAAGACAAAAACAAAAAAUUAACAUUAUGUGAAAUCUCCAUACAGAAGAGACACAAGGCUACUGAGCUCUGGGUUUCUUCUCUCUGCACCCCUCCUCCACUAGCAACCACAGGCUCCCCUAAAACCCCAGGGCCCUGGGAACAAACAUUAGGUGCAUUGUUCAGGGCGGCAGCUUGUUUCAUCCUUAUCUCAGGCAAACAUCAAGCAGCACCCAUUACAUAUAACAGACAUACUACAGCCUGCCCCAAGCUCUGGAAGCGCUCUGGAAACUCACCAAAGUGAAAGACACAUCCCCAAAACAAAGGAGAGGCAGGGCAGAUAAGAUGCCAGCAGCCGUCAACCAGAGCCCUGCCCAGUACAAUGUGUCACAAGUACACUUAGGGCCCAGAGAAGGGAGGAGAGGCCGGCUAGAAAUUGCAGGGCUUCCUCAGGGUUUCUGUAGAUUUGCAUAUGAAGACAGAGUAAAAUCUGAGGAGUGGGAGUGGUGAGUGCAUCCAGAUAGGAGGAGAAGCACCAGCAAGGGUGGAAAUGUCUGUCCUGUGUCCAGGGGAUGGUUAGCUGAUGAAUCUGGUUGGAGAACAGGGCAUUUGGAAUGGGAAAAUGGAAGGAGUCAGAAUUUGAAUGAAAGGCUAGGAAAAUUCAACUCAUUUCCGAGACCAUCAAGAGCUCUGAAAGAAUCAACUUAGGAGAAAAAAAAAAAAAAUUAGGAAAAAGAAAAACAAGAUAAGAGCAAAAACCAGACGUCAAGCUGUUCACAUGUCUUCAGGAAAAGAGAAGGGUCAGCAGAGGGAAACUUUGAUGACACAUUUUCCACUGCUGACCCUCCCCCUAAAAGGGACACAUGCCUUGUGACCAACAAAGACAAAAUGCAUUAUCUCCACUUAAUCAUCACACAUCAAGCAGCGAGGUGACUCAUGUAAAGUCACCCAGCUAAGGACUCCAGGGGUCUUGGCUCACAGGUCUUCUCAGAAGAUUCCUCUCCAGCAAGGACACAUGAUCUCCAGACUCUUGUGCAGGGGCUGGUGAGAACAGUCUCCCACUAGCUCUUGUGCUUCUCAGACCUUCCUCUUUCUGCCCAAAUCCAGGAAUGGGGAACACCCCAACUCCCUCCGAGCCCAGCCUCGGCUUACAGCUCCAGCUUAUGACACACAGCCAGAGGAAUUCAGAGAAGAAUGGCCUUCUGUUGAAACCUCUCCAAGAUCAUCACAGUGAAACACCCACACAGGACAUGCACACACAGGCAUGAGCAAUAGUGAUGAAUGGGUCCUGGAAGGGUGAGGGCUGCACUCCAUCUGCCCUGAUGCUACUUAACUUCCCUGGGGAUGAUGGUUUAAGAUGUUCCCUCACCAGACAUAGUUUGGCCGUAACAUUUGGGCUGGCCACCUCUCUCUGCCUCCGUGUCCCUUACAUAAUCAAGAAUCCAGAGACAGGGGGAGGAUGGGAGAGAAAUGAGGUAUAGAGUCUGAGUAUCUUGCACAAGGUCAUCAGACAAGGGGCUACAUUGGCUCCCCUCUCAUCCUGCUCCUCGAGUUCCAGAGGCUAGGUUCUGUCCAACAGAAUGGACCAGAAUGACAUCAUCAGAAAAGGGGACAAAGAGGAAGGCAGACAGCACUGCACAUCCCUAAUCAGGUGGAGGAAGGCUUUCCCGGAGGAGACUGUGCUGGACUUCCCAGCACCUCUGCUGAAUUCCCAGGAGUCUGUUCCUGACACACUGGGGGCUGAGGGGAGGGCACCUUACAGUCAGGAGAGCGUGUCAACCGCAGUUCAGCCAGUGACUCAGCACUGGUGGGAAGGUCAGACCUCCCUGAGGGCACCGGCCUGCAGUCAACACUGGGCUUAUCCACUUCCCAACAUCCGCCCUCACAUGUGAGGAGUAAACGCCUCCCGGUGACUGUGCUGCUUCUCUUCCGUAAUACGCAUGCCAUCUCCCUUUCACUGGUUCUCUAAUCCAACUAGUUUUCUAAAUUUACAAUAGUGUGCAACUGAAUAAAAAAAAAAUCUCAGUACCAAAGGCUGUUCAAUAAAAAUAAGCAAUAGAGGUUUAAGGAUAAAUUUCUAGUUCUUGACAGACACACUAGUGUAGGGCAGCUUCACACACUUCCCAUUUUUGCAAGAAACUAACCCGAUUUGUGUGUCCUUCCGCUUUCGCGCUCCUUCACCCCAUCCCUAAGCUCUGGCCCAGGGACUGCCUGAUCACAUGGCAACAAAGUUCAUAAUGCCUUUGUUCUGUUCUAGAAAUAGAAUUGAUUGUGCUUCAUCUAAAGCUUGAUUCUUAGAAUUGAAAACAAACCACCAGCGCUUACGAUAUUUUGGUUGUGUACAAAUUGUUCCCUCCAGAGGAAAGUGGACACCCUCAGAGAAGGACAUGCAGACAUACCACUAAACUUGCGCUGCUCCAAGGAAAAUAAAAUUAACGAAGUUGGGAGGACUGGGGAGGGGAUGGAGUGGAGGGAGCAUUCAAGUUAUUUUUCCUCAGCAUGGUGAAGGCAUGUUUCUAACUCCUAUCCUUGAGUUGGCACGAAGAAUGGAAGGAACAACAUCCGGGACCUUCAUACAUGGACUAUUCAUCUGCAUUUUUUGAGCACCAAUUACGCUCUGUAUACAAUGCUAAGCAUUUAAGAUGCAUACAAGAACAGUACCCACCUUCACAAUCUCCCGAGGGAGAGGGAAAAUCAAAGGCAGUGUGCAAAGAGUAAACACUCCAAGAAAUAAGGGUGUUUUAUUUGGUUUGGUUCACUGCUGUGUUUUUAGUCUUUAGCCAAUCACGGUAUGACUGAGCAUGAUGCCUGAGGUAUGGACAAUGGAAGGGCGUGGACUGGACCUCUAAGGAGGAUCCCUGAGGGUGCUCGCCUCAGGUUUGAAAGCUCAGAGAACGUUCCCAAAGAGAGUUUGGGUUGGAUGUUGAAACCCAAGUUGGAGGAGGACAUGGGAAGAAACUGCGCAAGGGUUUUCCAAGUAGUCUGGUGGAAGCAGAAGUUGAGUUUGAGAACAUGGCAUGAGAUGAGGGGAGAAUGACAAGAUGAGGCAAUUCACAAAGGGGCUUGUGUGGCGGGCUGAUGAACCUGGCCUCCAUGCCAGGGGUGACAGGGAAUUUUGGAGGGCUGUCGGCAGGGGAGUGGCAGGGUGGCAGGUCAGGUCUGUGUGGUAGAGACCACUGUGUGUGAGGGGAGUGGGGGCUGAAUGGGUGGUGGGGGUGGGCUUGAGGUGGGAGUGUAGUUGGGGGCUAAGGCUGUCUCUGGGAUGAGACAUAGUAAGAAGUCAAACUAAGGUUCUGAGGUUGGAGAGAAGAGCUCAGCUCUGAUAAAUAUUUAGGAGGUAGAAUCUGCACAAUUCCAUAGCUGCGUGGCUUUGAGGGAUAGCUCAGCACAGGGUGGGUUCUUGACCUGGGUGGCUGAGGGG